This 72-nucleotide transfer RNA is filed under the name Candidatus Harrisonbacteria bacterium RIFCSPHIGHO2_02_FULL_40_20. Its description in RNAcentral is "tRNA-Ile". It matches the Rfam family "tRNA". Rfam says of the family: Transfer RNA (tRNA) molecules are approximately 80 nucleotides in length. Their secondary structure includes four short double-helical elements and three loops (D, anti-codon, and T loops). Lineage: Bacteria; Candidatus Harrisoniibacteriota. RNAcentral also lists the same sequence under 1 other name. The record is from RNAcentral.
GGGCACGUAGUUCAGUGGUAGAACGCUGUCCUGAUAAGACAGAGGUCGAUGGUUCGAUUCCAUCCGUGCCCA